This 148-nucleotide unclassified non-coding RNA is filed under the name soil metagenome. RNAcentral's name for it is "partial internal transcribed spacer 1". The record is from RNAcentral.
CUCGAGUUUUUCAACUCUAAACCAUUUGUGAACUACCUUCUGGACUGCUUGGCAGGGUCCUUCGGGGAUUUGCGGUAGCAUUACAACCAACUCUUUAUAUUUCUAGAGAAUUAUUCAUUGCUGAGUGGCAUUUAACUAAAUAAGUUUA